This 418-nucleotide ribosomal RNA is filed under the name uncultured bacterium. RNAcentral's name for it is "bacterial SSU rRNA". It matches the Rfam family "Bacterial small subunit ribosomal RNA", at positions 82 to 476 of the family's 1533-position model. The record is from RNAcentral.
CCUAUGAAAUCGAGUGGCAAACGGGUGAGUAACGCGUAAACAACCUGCCCUUCGGAUGGGGAUAACAGCUGGAAACGGCUGCUAAUACCGAAUACGAUCUUUUCGUCGCAUGACGGAAAGAAGAAAGGAUGGCCUCUAUACAAAGCUAUCGCCGAAGGAGGGGUUUGCGUCUGAUUAGCUGGUUGGAGGGGUAACGGCCCAACAAGGCGAUGAUCAGUAGCCGGUCUGAGAGGAUGAACGGCCACAUUGGGACUGAGACACGGCCCAGACUCCUACGGGAGGCAGCAGUGGGGAAUCUUCCGCAAUGGACGAAAGUCUGACGGAGCAACGCCGCGUGAGUGAAGAAGGUCUUCGGAUUGUAAAGCUCUGUUAUACGGGACGAAAAAGACGGAUGCCAACAGUAUCCGUCCGUGACGGU